RNAcentral lists this ribosomal RNA (490 nucleotides) under uncultured bacterium. RNAcentral's name for it is "partial 16S ribosomal RNA". It matches the Rfam family "Bacterial small subunit ribosomal RNA", at positions 30 to 507 of the family's 1533-position model. The record is from RNAcentral.
AUUGAACGCUGGCGGCAGGCCUAACACAUGCAAGUCGAACGGUAACAGGAAGAAGCUUGCUUCUUUGCUGACGAGUGGCGGGCGGGUGAGUAAUGUCUGGGAAACUGCCUGAUGGAGGGGGAUAACUACUGGAAACGGUAGCUAAUACCGCAUAACGUCGCAAGACCAAAGAGGGGGACCUUCGGGCCUCUUGCCAUCGGAUGUGCCCAGAUGGGAUUAGCUAGUAGGUGGGGUAACGGCUCACCUAGGCGACGAUCCCUAGCUGGUCUGAGAGGAUGACCAGCCACACUGGAACUGAGACACGGUCCAGACUCCUACGGGAGGCAGCAGUGGGGAAUAUUGCACAAUGGGCGCAAGCCUGAUGCAGCCAUGCCGCGUGUAUGAAGAAGGCCUUCGGGUUGUAAAGUACUUUCAGCGGGGAGGAAGGGAGUAAAGUUAAUACCUUGACUGAUUGACGUUACCCGCAGAAGAAGCACCGGCUAACUCCGUG